GGGGAGGGGGCGCCUGGGCGCGGCGCCGGGACCCUGCUGCCCUGUCCUCCCGGCCGCGGCUGGACGGAGCGCGGGGCCGCAGCAACCAGGCCGGGCUCCCCGUCGCGCCCCUUCCGGAGCGGGAGGCCCUUGCCGAGGCCGAGCCUGGGACGCGCGGGGCGGGGGGCGGCGGGCAGCCGCGGGGCCGAGACGCAGGGCGUUUUCCCCGGAGGUGCGGCGUGCGCCUGCGACACAAAGGUCUUUUAAAGACCUCGCAGCGUCCUUCCCGGCUGCGGAGGCUGGAGGCCCGGGGGGGCGAGGCCGGGGUCGAGGGUGGCCGCGCGAGGGGGCGCUGGGAUCGGCCGGAUCCCGCGGUUGCGCCCGGGCUGGGACUCCCGGGCUCCUUUUGUGAGCGGAAGGCAGGGCCCUCCCCGGGUCUCUGAAUAUGGUCAGUUCGGCUUCGCAGGGCUGCGUGCCCGGAAUAAUAAAUUGGCUUCUCUAGGGUCGUAAUCUGGGCCCCACCCCGAGCAGCUUUGAGCUGGUUCGCGCCUUCCAGGCAGGACUACUGGGGGUCCUCAAAAGCACCCCCGCGGUCGGCUGUGUCAGGAUCACCUGGGUCCCGUGUGAACACGAUUCCAGGGCCCCACCCCAUCGCCUGAAGCGGAAUCUCUGGGCGGGGCCCAGGAAUCCGAGUUUUUGGAACAGGGAGAAGACUUUCCUCGAACCUGUUUGCAGAGAGCCGUGUUGCCCGCUUUGAGGGCCCUUUCUCGGGAGACCUGUUUGCUUUGUUCAACCUCUGAAUUCAGCAGACCCAAAAUCCACCAAGGCCACUAGCUUAUGAGUGAAUGUGGUCCCUUCAGGUAAGGGCCAGACAGCCCCUGCCAGGGCUUGGGGAGGGUUUUCCUAGAGGAAUCCUGGCAGUAAAAAAACCAACCCCCAAACUCUCCAAGUGCUGGACGCUGGAGAAUCCCAGCAAGGAAAAGGAACAAAUCUUAUCUCAUGCCGGAAGAUAACCUCUUCCCUUUGUUGGCGCUUUUCCUUGCGUUCAGGAUGAAUUAAAAUUCUUAUCUGCUCUGCA
Molecule: long non-coding RNA, 1057 nt
Organism: Pongo pygmaeus (Bornean orangutan)
Lineage: Eukaryota; Metazoa; Chordata; Mammalia; Primates; Hominidae
Exons: 2
Source: RefSeq, a predicted model, not a curated record